AUACCAUGAUGGGGGCACUUCCUUAAGAGCUCUUUGAAUCUCUCCCAUGCAUCCUACAGUGAUUCCCCGUCCAUCUGGUAGAAAUUAUUAAUUUCCCCUCUCAACUU
Molecule: small nucleolar RNA, 107 nt
Organism: Humulus lupulus (European hop)
Lineage: Eukaryota; Viridiplantae; Streptophyta; Magnoliopsida; Rosales; Cannabaceae
Source: RefSeq, a predicted model, not a curated record